UACGUAGGGGGCAAGCGUUGUCCGGAUUUAUUGGGCGUAAAGAGCGUGUAGGCGGUUUGGUAGGUCCGUUGUGAAAACUCGAGGCUCAACCUCGGGACGCCGAUGGAAACCAUCAGACUAGAGUCCGGAAGAGGAGAGUGGAAUUCCUGGUGUAGCGGUGAAAUGCGCAGAUAUCAGGAAGAACACCCGUGGCUAAGGCGGCUCUCUAGUACGGUACUGACGCUGAGACGCGAAAGCGUGGGGAGCGAACAGG
RNAcentral lists this ribosomal RNA (253 nucleotides) under uncultured bacterium. Its description in RNAcentral is "partial 16S ribosomal RNA". It matches the Rfam family "Bacterial small subunit ribosomal RNA", at positions 524 to 776 of the family's 1533-position model. The record is from RNAcentral.